UUGCUCUUCAACGAGGAAUGCCUAGUAAGCGCAUGUCAUCAGCAUGCGUUGAUUACGUCCCUGCCCUUUGUACACACCGCCCGUCGCUACUACCGAUUGAAUGGCUCAGUGAGGCCUUCGGACUGGCCCAGGGAGGUCGGCAACGACCACCCAGGGCCGGAAAGUUGGUCAAACUCGGUCAUUUAGAGGAAGUAAAAGUCGUAACAAGGUCUCCGUAGGUGAACCUGCGGAGGGAUCAUUACUGAGUGAGGGCCUUCGGGCUCGACCUCCAACCCUUUGUGAACACAACUUGUUGCUUCGGGGGCGACCCUGCCGUUUCGACGGCGAGCGCCCCCGGAGGCCUUCAAACACUGCAUCUUUGCGUCGGAGUUUAAGUAAAUUAAACAAAACUUUCAACAACGGAUCUCUUGGUUCUGGCAUCGAUGAAGAACGCAGCGAAAUGCGAUAAGUAAUGUGAAUUGCAGAAUUCAGUGAAUCAUCGAAUCUUUGAACGCACAUUGCGCCCCUUGGUAUUCCGAGGGGCAUGCCUGUUCGAGCGUCAUUUCACCACUCAAGCCUCGCUUGGUAUUGGGCGCCGCGGUGUUCCGCGCGCCUCAAAGUCUCCGGNCUGAGCUGUCCGUCUCUAAGCGUUGUGAUUUCAUUAAUCGCUUCGGAGCGCGGGCGGUCGCGGNCCGUUAAAUCUUUCACAAGGUUGACCUCGGAUCAGGUAGGGAUACCCGCUGAACUUAAGCAUAUCAAUAAGCGGAGGA
This 749-nucleotide ribosomal RNA is filed under the name uncultured fungus. RNAcentral describes it as "eukaryotic LSU rRNA". The stretch from base 1 to 241 matches the Rfam family "Eukaryotic small subunit ribosomal RNA", at positions 1593 to 1831 of the family's 1831-position model. Lineage: Eukaryota; Fungi. The record is from RNAcentral.